UGUAUUAAUGCUACAAUUUUCCAUGAGGCUUGAUGUAUCGGGGCACACUUAAUCGCUGAUGGAGAACGUGGUGGUCGACGCCAGGGAUUGUUUUGAGUUAUCAAGAUCCUUAACUUCUAUCUCUCUCAUUUUCUCCUCGAAAACCCAGCUGCUCUCGAGAGUCCGAGAAAUCGUUGCUUACGCUUCAUCUUCGCUUCCUCCAUGCGUUUUGGGCAUCAGAUUCACCACUCCUAUGGUUCGUUGAAUAAACUCGCUCAAAAUAUUUUGUAGGUUUGUUUUUUUAUUCCCUAUUGUUUCCUGAAUGUCUAUGCAUUAUUAUUUUUAUAUGUCAAAUUCAAUUUUUUUUUAAUUUUUUUGAUAUAUGGUUAAUCCACUUAAUUGUUAGUUUGCGUUGUUGUAUUUUGAUUGAUCUGGAUUUUAAUUUUAGAUAUUUUAUGUCGUAUAUUGAUCUAGGAAGUGCAGCCUUAUUGUGCAAUUAGGUACCUUCCCCGAUACUUGAGCCAUUUUUAGUAGAUCAUGCCUCCUGCGUUUGGUACCAUGGAUGUUAACCCUCUUUUUAUUUUCACUGUUCUUGGCAUGUUCAGGUUAAUUGGUCAUCCCACUAAAUUCUAAUUUUAAUUUUAAGUCAAAAUCCGAAAGUUUAUUAUUUUAUAUUCUCAUAUGAUAAUAUCAUCCAAGUUGAAUUGGGGAAGAUAAUCUACCAACCUUGCAACUUCCAACUUGCAUUUUAUACGCGUUAUUUUCUUCUCAUUUCAACUUGUGUCUUAGGUGUUUGCCUUAGAGUUUCUGGCUUGUUUUUUUUCUUUUCUUGUUCUGUUAGACUUGCAGGUAGCUCUUCCCCGUGUGCUCUAAGCUGCUAGCCUGUGGUUCAGACCUACAGGCUGCCUGGCUUUGUGCCUGUUUUGCAGGCUUUCUGCAGCCUCACUCUGUUGCAAGUUCUGAUUUUCUAGGGUUUUCUCAAGGAUCUCAAAAUUCCAACUUCAAUGGACUGCCGAAAGAUUCGAAAGCACGAUGUUCGAGUUGUACACUCUAAUGGCGGAUUCAAGAAGCACAAUUAAGCUAGGUUAAGACAACCUGAGAGCAAGUCAAGCUGGGAACUUCAAUGGUCGUCCGAAAGAGAUGAAAGCACGAUGUCGGAUUAGUACACUCUAAUGGCUGAUUCAAGAAGCACAAUUACGGUUUACUCUUACUUUUCUCUUUCUUUAUACUUCAUAUAUUUGCUGCAUCUUUUUUUUCUUGGCUGGGGUCUGAACUUAGAAGCAGAAAUAAAUUUGCUGGAAUUAUGUUUGUGAUAGUGGCCCUUGGCUCUUGUAAGCAUGCUUUCUGUGAUGAUGUAAACCCUUUAGCCGGUUGAAACCUGAGCUCUAAGGGUGCAAUUUCGUGUCUUUGGGAGCCUUUUAGUCUGUA
Molecule: long non-coding RNA, 1407 nt
Organism: Spinacia oleracea (spinach)
Lineage: Eukaryota; Viridiplantae; Streptophyta; Magnoliopsida; Caryophyllales; Amaranthaceae
Exons: 3
Source: RefSeq, a predicted model, not a curated record